UACAGAGGUCCCAAGCGUUGUUCGGAUUCACUGGGCGUAAAGGGUGCGUAGGCGGUCGGGUAAGUCUGAUGUGAAAUCUCCAAGCUCAACUUGGAAAUGGCAUCGGAUACUAUUCGGCUCGAGGAAUGGAGGGGAGACUGGAAUACUUGGUGUAGCAGUGAAAUGCGUAGAUAUCAAGUGGAACACCAGUGGCGAAGGCGAGUCUCUGGACAUUUCCUGACGCUGAGGAGCGAAAGCGUGGGGAGCGAACAGG
This 253-nucleotide ribosomal RNA is filed under the name uncultured bacterium. Its description in RNAcentral is "partial 16S ribosomal RNA". It matches the Rfam family "Bacterial small subunit ribosomal RNA", at positions 524 to 776 of the family's 1533-position model. The record is from RNAcentral.